Molecule: ribosomal RNA, 253 nt
Filed under: uncultured bacterium
Lineage: Bacteria
Description: partial 16S ribosomal RNA
Rfam family: Bacterial small subunit ribosomal RNA
Source: RNAcentral
UACGUAGGGUCCGAGCGUUGUCCGGAAUUGCUGGGCGUAAAGAGCUCGUAGGUGGUUUGUCGCGUUGUUCGUGAAAACUCACAGAUCAACUGUGGGCGUGCGGGCGAUACGGGCAGACUAGAGUACUGCAGGGGAGACUGGAAUUCCUGGUGUAGCGGUGGAAUGCGCAGAUAUCAGGAGGAACACCGGUGGCGAAGGCGGGUCUCUGGGCAGUAACUGACGCUGAGGAGCGAAAGCGUGGGGAGCGAACAGG